CCCUUAGAUGUCCUGGGCUGCACGCGCGCUACACUGAUGUGUCCAGUAAGCACCUAACCUCUUCCGAAAGGAACGGGUAACCUUUGCAAAGCACAUCGUGAUGGGGAUAGAUUAUUGCAAUUAUUAGUCUUGAACGAGGAAUUCCUAGUAAGCACAAGUCAUCAGCUUGUGUUGAUUACGUCCCUGCCCUUUGUACACACCGCCCGUCGCUCCUACCGAUUGAAUGGUUUAGUGAGAUCUCCGGAUUGGCUCUGUAGGUCCCGCAAGGGAUUUAUUAGUAGCCAAGAAGCUGCUCAAACUUGAUCAUUUAGAGGAAGUAAAAGUCGUAACA
Molecule: ribosomal RNA, 331 nt
Filed under: uncultured eukaryote
Lineage: Eukaryota
Description: partial 18S ribosomal RNA
Rfam family: Eukaryotic small subunit ribosomal RNA
Source: RNAcentral